CGACAAAUAGUUUUGGAAGUUACACAUGGUAUCCUCUACCAGAUCCAACUAAAAUGAACGCCAAGGCAAUCCUCGCAGUACUGGCUGUUUACGCUCUCCUUGUGGCAGGCACGUCAGCCUGCGGUGGUGAGGGUCGCUCCGAGUCAGAAAGAUGUGGUGACGGAGAGGCUCGCAGCGAACAAGGAGUUACCGAGGCCCGCCUGGACAGCGCUGCAAUGUCCAGCGAGUCGGCUCGCUGCGGAGGCCAAUCCGGUCGCUGCGAUGGCUAGCGGCGCCCUCGGAUGCGCAGCCACUUCCAAAAGAAGCCAGCAGUAUUUGGCCAACUGAUUGGUGGGGGUGGAAGUCACUGAACGGAAUGGUUUCAAAAUAAAUUAGCAUUGCUUGCA
Dermacentor albipictus is the source of this 386-nucleotide long non-coding RNA. RefSeq lists it as uncharacterized. Lineage: Eukaryota; Metazoa; Arthropoda; Arachnida; Ixodida; Ixodidae. The record is from RefSeq and is a predicted model, not a curated record.